Molecule: ribosomal RNA, 403 nt
Filed under: uncultured bacterium
Lineage: Bacteria
Description: bacterial SSU rRNA
Rfam family: Bacterial small subunit ribosomal RNA
Source: RNAcentral
AGGUCUUGACAUCCUCCUGACCGGUCUAGAGAUAGGCUUUCCCUUCGGGGCAGGAGUGACAGGUGGUGCAUGGUUGUCGUCAGCUCGUGUCGUGAGAUGUUGGGUUAAGUCCCGCAACGAGCGCAACCCCUAUUGUUAGUUGCCAUCAUUAAGUUGGGCACUCUAGCGAGACUGCCGGUAAUAAACCGGAGGAAGGUGGGGAUGACGUCAAAUCAUCAUGCCCCUUAUGACCUGGGCUACACACGUGCUACAAUGGUUGGUACAACGAGUCGCAAGCCGGUGACGGCAAGCUAAUCUCUUAAAGCCAAUCUCAGUUCGGAUUGUAGGCUGCAACUCGCCUACAUGAAGUCGGAAUCGCUAGUAAUCGCGGAUCAGCACGCCGCGGUGAAUACGCUCACGGGCC